Long non-coding RNA from Aegilops tauschii subsp. strangulata, 1101 nucleotides. RefSeq lists it as uncharacterized. Lineage: Eukaryota; Viridiplantae; Streptophyta; Magnoliopsida; Poales; Poaceae. The record is from RefSeq and is a predicted model, not a curated record.
CUCUGUGCCUCUAAAUAAAACCAUAGCCCAAAAAAAUCCCCAAAUACACCUGUACCCACUCGCACCUGAGUCAAAUCUCAUCUCACCGGCGGCGCCCCCAAAUCACUCGCCGCCAGCCGCGCACCCGAAUUCCCUCCCUGCCUCUGCCCUCUAGUCCGCCGCCACCCUCUCUGUCUGCUUCCCGUCCCCAGCCACCACUACACCGACGCCGAUCUGCCCGUUUGCUGCCUGGUCCGACCUCCAUGCUACCUCCACCGCCAAUUCAUGGAUGGCUUGUCGACCAUCGCCCAGUCCAUCUCUGGCGCCUUCCCCAGCUUUGUUUCUCACCGCGUGCCUCACCAAGAUCUGGACGCUGCAUCACCACCCCUCCAUCACUCACUACUUGAGAUGUAGAUGGUGAUUUACAAGAUUGGUUUCGUCCAGUGACUAACAAGACGGCGACGGCGGGAGAUACCAGGUUUGGGAGAGGCAACCCGAUGAUGCAGAUAGGCUAGGAGAUGGGUCGGAAAAUCUGCAAGGAACCCGGCUACAGCACCGUUAGAUCUGCUCCCCUUCAACUACUCGAGGUUCAUCUAGAUCAGGAGUAAGAUCAAUGUCCUUUGCUCUUAUCAAAGGCGCAUUAAUCGACUGCUCACCGUAGGUAGCAGGACUGGGUUUGCAAUAUCAAGAUAAUCUUAUCGAUCUUGCUAUGUUGAUUGAGGAAGCAUCGUACAACUGCAGUGCAAGUACACAAUUAGCUGUAGCUGCUGGGGAAGUUUAUAGGCAUUGGGGGGAGUUAGCCGUGAGACUUGAAGCACAAGACAGAGCAUUUGAAGAGAUGCAAAGGAAGCAUCAAGAAGAAUUGGAAGCUGUGAAGAAGAGCCAAACUUGAGUCGGUGUUAUUUUGAUUGUCAUUUCUAAUUGGAGGAUGUUUUGGCUUAGAGAUAGAAUAUAUAAUAGGAUUUUUCUUUCGUUUCAUAAUGUGAUUUGGCUCACAAUUUAUGUAUAUAAUGUGAUGCGAUGUGAAUAAAAUACUUACUGUGAUGUGCAUUUGUAAUAUAGUGGAUCUGAUAAUUCAUUGCAAAUUAUUCAAAAUAUAGUAAAUGUAUUUUGAUGAUGGCA